GUUCACUUGAACUAUGGUUUUUCAGCUGGUUUUUCUCCGCUGAAAUCGAUUAAAGGUUUUUUUCUACUUUGUUCUUACCUUACUCGCUCUUUCAUACAUAUGAGCUGAGCAUAUUGGUGCAUGCACACAUCGAAAAGGAAACGGUAAAAACUUAUUUGCCAAGGUAUUAACGCCACACGACAACGGCAGUUCUCGUUCCCAUAUAUGUACAUUGCCCUAAUUACAAAUAAAAAUAAAAUACGUAUAAUUUAA
This is a long non-coding RNA of Drosophila miranda, 252 nucleotides long. RefSeq lists it as uncharacterized. The transcript has 2 exons. NCBI's taxonomy places the organism in Eukaryota, Metazoa, Arthropoda, Insecta, Diptera, Drosophilidae. The record is from RefSeq and is a predicted model, not a curated record.